This is a non-coding RNA of Heterocephalus glaber (naked mole-rat), 72 nucleotides long. The record is from Rfam. NCBI's taxonomy places the organism in Eukaryota, Metazoa, Chordata, Mammalia, Rodentia, Bathyergidae.
GGCGGUGUAGCUCAGUAGUAGAGCUCUUGCCUAGCAUGUAUGAGGCACUGAGUUUAAUCCCCAGCAGUACCC